Molecule: long non-coding RNA, 863 nt
Organism: Solanum stenotomum
Lineage: Eukaryota; Viridiplantae; Streptophyta; Magnoliopsida; Solanales; Solanaceae
Exons: 2
Source: RefSeq, a predicted model, not a curated record
AGCAAGCACAUCAAAUUUCAUUGGACAAAUAACAAAUGUCAUGCUCUCUGAUGGAUAAUUCAUAUAAUUGUUUACACUUGUAAAAUGGAUAGCGGUUGGAACAGGAAAAAGUUUCUUUCUAAAGUUGUAUUCAUCUUUCAGCAAUUAUAUUUAAAUGAUUGGGGCCAAAAUGAAAGAUUUUGAUCAGCCAGUGUGUGUAACCAAUGCAGCAGGACUUUGGUUGCUACUUGAAAUGCUCAUUUCUUCUCAGAUGCGGGGACCUCACCUUGUAACUGCUUCUUUCGAAGAUCACCGGAGCCUCGUGGAUGUUGAAAUCUGUGCCAUCUCCGGCGUCCAUAUUCGUUGCCACCAUAAUAUCAUGCUUCAACUCAAGCUUGUAGAUGCCAUCAAAGAAGCUGGAAAUUAAAUAUCUUGAAUUCAUCAAAAGUAGCCAACACAACAAAGACAAGGAAGAAGAAAAGUGGUUCAAUAUAAUGUCCCUUCUUCAUAAACCAAUCCACAAGAUAACGUUCAAGAUCGGCAAUUGCCAGAUCUGAAGGAAGUAAAGAAUGAAACUUGUGGAAGGGUACUCCGUACUGAAGAUACAUCUAUAAUUAAAAAUUGAUUUGUAAAAAAGUACACGUCGGCUUGAUCCCACUUUAGAAUUAGUUUUGGGGUAUGUAGGCAGCCUGUGACGAAAAUAAUCUCAUGUUCAGCCCCUUAUUAGUUUAACUAGUUUUUGGUGUCUCAAGCAAUUUUUUUAUAAAUUUAUUAGAACAAUUAAAAUUUUAUGAAAAUAUAUAUGUAAUGAGUACUAAAAUUCAAGUCUUUCUUCAUUGAGUCAAGCUAAAUCUGAAUCAAAUGGAAAAGCUUAUUUUCGUAAA